Long non-coding RNA from Salvia splendens (bonfire salvia), 699 nucleotides. RefSeq lists it as uncharacterized. The record is from RefSeq and is a predicted model, not a curated record. The transcript is spliced from 2 exons. NCBI's taxonomy places the organism in Eukaryota, Viridiplantae, Streptophyta, Magnoliopsida, Lamiales, Lamiaceae.
UUUCACCACUUCCAAUCAGUUCCAAAGAGAAACCAAGUGAGAGGGUCCGGGGAAGUUGCUGUGAAUUUCUUUUAACAACAGAGGAAGCAUCAAGGAAAUGAAUGGAGUGGUCCGACGAGCAUGCUAAUGGAAUGGAUUCUGGAUUACAUGCCAAAGUAGAGGAAAAUUGGAUGCAAAUUCAGUGGUUUGAGAUAGAAGGAAUCCACAAGACACAAACUGCCCAGUUUGAUGGAUUGGCCAGUGUCCGAGCAAUGUUGACAGCUCCUCAAAGUCGCAUUUCAAAGCUAAGUUGACGAGUCUUUGUGCUACCAAUGCCCACAAGCGACACUUUUGAAGGCAAAAGAAGCCAACUACCAUCAUUGGGAGUGGAGAAGACUUCCACAUCAGAUUGGUUGGAAGAAGUGUAACAAAAUCAACAAAACUUACCUUUUGGAACAACUUGGAAAAAAAAACCACUCUUUAGCUAUCUUUAGUUAGUUUUAGUUUCUCUCUCUAAGCUUAGUUUUCUCUCAUCCUUGAAGCAAAUUUCGAACCAUAGGCAGCCAUUGCCACUUUUGCUCACCAUGGGGUGAAGCUUGUAGUUGUGUAGUGUUUUAAUGCUUUGAAUGACCUAGUUCCUUAUUGUACUCAUUUUCCAACAUCUUAACUCUCUAGUUAAGGUUGUUGGGCUGAUAUUAAAAAGCUUUUGGUGCAUUUAAA